Molecule: ribosomal RNA, 253 nt
Filed under: uncultured bacterium
Lineage: Bacteria
Description: partial 16S ribosomal RNA
Rfam family: Bacterial small subunit ribosomal RNA
Source: RNAcentral
GACGAACCACCCAAACGUUAUUCGGAAUUACUGGGCUUAAAGCGUGCGUAGGCGGUCCGGAAAGUUAGGUGUGAAAUCCCCCAGCUCAACUGUGGAACUGCGCUUAAAACUACCGGACUUGAGGGAUAUAGAGGUGAGCAGAACAGAUGGUGGAGCGGUGAAAUGCGUUGAUAUCAUCUGGAAUACCGGAGGCGAAGGCGGCUCACUGGGUAUCUUCUGACGCUGAGGUACGAAAGCUAGGGGAGCGAACGGG